GGUUAAGCGACUAAGCGUACACGGUGGAUGCCCUGGCAGUCAGAGGCGAUGAAGGACGUGCUAAUCUGCGAAAAGCGUCGGUAAGGUGAUAUGAACCGUUAUAACCGGCGAUGUCCGAAUGGGGAAACCCAGUGCAAUUCGUUGCACUAUCGUUAACUGAAUACAUAGGUUAACGAGGCGAACCGGGGGAACUGAAACAUCUAAGUACCCCGAGGAAAAGAAAUCAACCGAGAUUCCCCCAGUAGCGGCGAGCGAACGGGGAGCAGCCCAGAGUCUGAAUCAGCUUGUGUGUUAGUGGAACGGUCUGGAAAGUCCGACGGUACAGGGUGAUAGUCCCGUACACCAAAAUGCACAGGUUGUGAACUCGAAGAGUAGGGCGGGACACGUGGUAUCCUGUCUGAAUAUGGGGGGACCAUCCUCCAAGGCUAAAUACUCCUGACUGACCGAUAGUGAACCAGUACCGUGAGGGAAAGGCGAAAAGAACCCCGGCGAGGGGAGUGAAAAAGAACCUGAAACCGUGUACGUACAAGCAGUGGGAGCACCUUCGGGUGUGACUGCGUACCUUUUGUAUAAUGGGUCAGCGACUUAUAUUCUGUAGCAAGGUUAACCGUAUAGGGGAGCCGCAGGGAAACCGAGUCUUAACUGGGCGUUAAGUUGCAGGGUAUAGACCCGAAACCCGGUGAUCUAGCCAUGGGCAGGUUGAAGGUUGGGUAACACUAACUGGAGGACCGAACCGACUAAUGUUGAAAAAUUAGCGGAUGACUUGUGGCUGGGGGUGAAAGGCCAAUCAAACCGGGAGAUAGCUGGUUCUCCCCGAAAGCUAUUUAGGUAGCGCCUCGUGAACUCAUCUUCGGGGGUAGAGCACUGUUUCGGCUAGGGGGUCAUCCCGACUUACCAACCCGAUGCAAACUACGAAUACCGAAGAAUGUUAUCACGGGAGACACACGGCGGGUGCUAACGUCCGUCGUGAAGAGGGAAACAACCCAGACCGCCAGCUAAGGUCCCAAAGUCAUGGUUAAGUGGGAAACGAUGUGGGAAGGCACAGACAGCCAGGAUGUUGGCUUAGAAGCAGCCAUCAUUUAAAGAAAGCGUAAUAGCUCACUGGUCGAGUCGGCCUGCGCGGAAGAUGUAACGGGGCUAAACCAUGCACCGAAGCUGCGGCAGCGACACUAUGUGUUGUUGGGUAGGGGAGCGUUCUGUAAGCCUGCGAAGGUGUGCUGUGAGGCAUGCUGGAGGUAUCAGAAGUGCGAAUGCUGACAUAAGUAACGAUAAAGCGGGUGAAAAGCCCGCUCGCCGGAAGACCAAGGGUUCCUGUCCAACGUUAAUCGGGGCAGGGUGAGUCGACCCCUAAGGCGAGGCCGAAAGGCGUAGUCGAUGGGAAACAGGUUAAUAUUCCUGUACUUGGUGUUACUGCGAAGGGGGGACGGAGAAGGCUAUGUUAGCCGGGCGACGGUUGUCCCGGUUUAAGCAUGUAGGCUGAUUGUCCAGGCAAAUCCGGAUAAUCAAGGCUGAGGUGUGAUGACGAGGCACUACGGUGCUGAAGUAACAAAUGCCCUGCUUCCAGGAAAAGCCUCUAAGCAUCAGGUAACAUCAAAUCGUACCCCAAACCGACACAGGUGGUCAGGUAGAGAAUACCAAGGCGCUUGAGAGAACUCGGGUGAAGGAACUAGGCAAAAUGGUGCCGUAACUUCGGGAGAAGGCACGCUGGUGUGUAGGUGAAGUCCCUGCGGAUGGAGCUGAGACCAGUCGAAGAUACCAGCUGGCUGCAACUGUUUAUUAAAAACACAGCACUGUGCAAACACGAAAGUGGACGUAUACGGUGUGACGCCUGCCCGGUGCCGGAAGGUUAAUUGAUGGGGUUAUCCGUAAGGAGAAGCUCUUGAUCGAAGCCCCGGUAAACGGCGGCCGUAACUAUAACGGUCCUAAGGUAGCGAAAUUCCUUGUCGGGUAAGUUCCGACCUGCACGAAUGGCGUAAUGAUGGCCAGGCUGUCUCCACCCGAGACUCAGUGAAAUUGAACUCGCUGUGAAGAUGCAGUGUACCCGCGGCAAGACGGAAAGACCCCGUGAACCUUUACUAUAGCUUGACACUGAACAUUGAGCCUUGAUGUGUAGGAUAGGUGGGAGGCUUUGAAGCGUGGACGCCAGUCUGCGUGGAGCCAACCUUGAAAUACCACCCUUUAAUGUUUGAUGUUCUAACGUUGGCCCCUGACCGGGGUUGCGGACAGUGUCUGGUGGGUAGUUUGACUGGGGCGGUCUCCUCCCAAAGCGUAACGGAGGAGCACGAAGGUUAGCUAAUCCUGGUCGGACAUCAGGAGGUUAGUGCAAUGGCAUAAGCUAGCUUGACUGCGAGCGUGACGGCGCGAGCAGGUGCGAAAGCAGGUCAUAGUGAUCCGGUGGUUCUGAAUGGAAGGGCCAUCGCUCAACGGAUAAAAGGUACUCCGGGGAUAACAGGCUGAUACCGCCCAAGAGUUCAUAUCGACGGCGGUGUUUGGCACCUCGAUGUCGGCUCAUCACAUCCUGGGGCUGAAGUAGGUCCCAAGGGUAUGGCUGUUCGCCAUUUAAAGUGGUACGCGAGCUGGGUUUAGAACGUCGUGAGACAGUUCGGUCCCUAUCUGCCGUGGGCGCUGGAGAAUUGAGGGGGGCUGCUCCUAGUACGAGAGGACCGGAGUGGACGCAUCACUGGUGUUCGGGUUGUCAUGCCAAUGGCACUGCCCGGUAGCUAAAUGCGGAAGAGAUAAGUGCUGAAAGCAUCUAAGCACGAAACUUGCCCCGAGAUGAGUUCUCCCUGAGACUAUAAGUCUCCUGAAGGAACGUUAAAGACGAUGACGUUGAUAGGCCGGGUGUGUAAGCGCAGCGAUGCGUUGAGCUAACCGGUACUAAUGAACCGUGAGGCUUAACCUU
This 2902-nucleotide ribosomal RNA is filed under the name Klebsiella pneumoniae. RNAcentral describes it as "LSU rRNA". It matches the Rfam family "Bacterial large subunit ribosomal RNA". Lineage: Bacteria; Pseudomonadati; Pseudomonadota; Gammaproteobacteria; Enterobacterales; Enterobacteriaceae. The record is from RNAcentral.